UCUUCGGCAAUGGGGGGAACCCUGACCGAGCAACGCCGCGUGAGUGAAGAAGGUUUUCGGAUCGUAAAGCUCUGUUGUAAGAGAAGAACGUUAGCGGGAGUGGAAAAUCCGCUAAGUGACGGUAACUUACCAGAAAGGGACGGCUAACUACGUGCCAGCAGCCGCGGUAAUACGUAGGUCCCGAGCGUUGUCCGGAUUUAUUGGGCGUAAAGCGAGAGCAGGCGGUUUGAUAAGUCAGAAGUAAAAGGCUGUGGCUUAACCAUAGUAUGCUUUUGAAACUGUCGAACUUGAGUGCAGAAGGGGGGAGUGGAAUUCCAUGUGUAGCGGUGAAAUGCGUAGAUAUAUGGAGGAACACCGGUGGCGAAAGCGGCUCUCUGGUCUGUAACUGACGCUGAGUCUCGAAAGCGUGGGGAGCGAACAGGAUUAGAUACCCUGGUAGUCCACGCCGUAAACGAUGAGUGCUAGGUGUUGGGUCCUUUCCGGGACUCAGUGCCGUAGCUAACGCAUUAAGCACUCCGCCUGGGGAGUACGACCGCAAGGUUGAAACUCAAAGGAAUUGACGGGGGCCCGCACAAGCGGUGGAGCAUGUGGUUUAAUUCGAAGCAACGCGAAGAACCUUACCAGGUCUUGACAUCCCAGUGACCGUCCUAGAGAUAGGAUUUUUCUUCGGAACACUGGUGACAGGUGGUGCAUGGUUGUCGUCAGCUCGUGUCGUGAGAUGUUGGGUUAAGUCCCGCAACGAGCGCAACCCCUAUUGUUAGUUGCCAUCAUUAAGUUGGGCACUCUAGCGAGACUGCCGGUAAUAAACCGGAGGAAGGUGGGGAUGACGUCAAAUCAUCAUGCCCCUUAUGACCUGGGCUACACACGUGCUACAAUGGCUGGUACAACGAGUCGCAAGUCGGUGACGACAAGCUAAUCUCUUAAAGCCAGUCUCAGUUCGGAUUGUAGGCUGCAACUCGCCUACAUGAAGUCGGAAUCGCUAGUAAUCGCGGAUCAGCACGCCGCGGUGAAUACGUUCCCGGGCCUUGUACACACCGCCCGUCACACCACGAGAGUUUGUAACACCCGAAGUCGGUGAGGUAACCGAAAGGAGCCAGCCGCCUAAGGUGGGAUAGAUGAUUGGGGUGAAGUCGUAACAAGGUAGCCGUAUCGGAAGGUGCGGCUGGAUCACCUCCUUUCUAAGGAA
Molecule: ribosomal RNA, 1186 nt
Rfam family: Bacterial small subunit ribosomal RNA